This 78-nucleotide transfer RNA is filed under the name Deltaproteobacteria bacterium. RNAcentral's name for it is "tRNA-Pro". It matches the Rfam family "tRNA". From Rfam's summary of the family: Transfer RNA (tRNA) molecules are approximately 80 nucleotides in length. Lineage: Bacteria; Pseudomonadati; Myxococcota; Myxococcia. The record is from RNAcentral. RNAcentral also lists the same sequence under 1 other name.
CGGGACGUGGCGCAGCCUGGUCAGCGCGCCUGCCUUGGGCGCAGGAGGUCCCCGGUUCAAAUCCGGGCGUCCCGACCA